ACACUUACCCAGCAGGGGAGAUACCCUGAUCACCAAGGUGGUUUUCCCUGGGCAAGACUCAUCCAUUGCACUCCAGAUGUGACCACUAUGAUUUUUCCACAUGUGAGGAACUUGACUGCAUAAUUCAUAGUUAUUUUUAAUUUAAAAG
Molecule: small nuclear RNA, 148 nt
Organism: Callithrix jacchus (white-tufted-ear marmoset)
Lineage: Eukaryota; Metazoa; Chordata; Mammalia; Primates; Cebidae
Gene: U1
Rfam family: U1 spliceosomal RNA
About the family: U1 is a small nuclear RNA (snRNA) component of the spliceosome (involved in pre-mRNA splicing). Its 5' end forms complementary base pairs with the 5' splice junction, thus defining the 5' donor site of an intron.
Source: Ensembl